This 411-nucleotide long non-coding RNA is filed under the name Brassica napus (rape). Its description in RNAcentral is "long non-coding RNA (BNAP_LNC006172)". The record is from RNAcentral. Lineage: Eukaryota; Viridiplantae; Streptophyta; Magnoliopsida; Brassicales; Brassicaceae.
UUGUUGUAUAAUACUUUUAUAUCAGCUGAUAGAAAAUUAAUUUGCACUUCUAACUUAACCACGUACAAGUCAUUAAAAAAAAAAGCUCACAUUUAUUAUAUUUAAAUGUUCUAGCGGAUUUUCAGCAAAUUUUGUUCGCCAAUCACCCUGAGUUAUUAGUAAAACAAACAAAAAAUGAGGCUAAAUAGUACAGUAAUACAAUAUAAUAGAACAAACAGUUAAUUAGGUGUUAUCGUGUCUUAAAUCAGGCACCCACUAUAUUAUUGCGAAAGCUUUGGCGUUAGGAAGGAUAAACUUAAUUAUUCCAUUAAUUACUUUUUGUAAAGCACCAUUAAACAUUGAUCCUUUGGUUUUUAACUUUUCAUUAUUUUGGUAGAAAGAGAAAAAUCUUACGUCAUACCAUACCACACC